UGGUGGGUAGUUUGACUGGGGCGGUCUCCUCCUAAAGAGUAACGGAGGAGCACGAAGGUUGGCUAAUCCUGGUCGGACAUCAGGAGGUUAGUGCAAUGGCAUAAGCCAGCUUGACUGCGAGCGUGACGGCGCGAGCAGGUGCGAAAGCAGGUCAUAGUGAUCCGGUGGUUCUGAAUGGAAGGGCCAUCGCUCAACGGAUAAAAGGUACUCCGGGGAUAACAGGCUGAUACCGCCCAAGAGUUCAUAUCGACGGCGGUGUUUGGCACCUCGAUGUCGGCUCAUCACAUCCUGGGGCUGAAGUAGGUCCCAAGGGUAUGGCUGUUCGCCAUUUAAAGUGGUACGCGAGCUGGGUUUAGAACGUCGUGAGACAGUUCGGUCCCUAUCUGCCGUGGGCGCUGGAGAACUGAGGGGGGCUGCUCCUAGUACGAGAGGACCGGAGUGGACGCAUCACUGGUGUUCGGGUUGUCAUGCCAAUGGCACUGCCCGGUAGCUAAAUGCGGAAGAGAUAAGUGCUGAAAGCAUCUAAGCACGAAACUUGCCCCGAGAUGAGUUCUCCCUGAGACUUUAGGUCUCCUGAAGGAACGUUGAAGACGACGACGUUGAUAGGCCGG
This 611-nucleotide ribosomal RNA is filed under the name Salmonella enterica. RNAcentral describes it as "partial 23S ribosomal RNA". It matches the Rfam family "Bacterial large subunit ribosomal RNA", at positions 2259 to 2864 of the family's 2925-position model. Lineage: Bacteria; Pseudomonadati; Pseudomonadota; Gammaproteobacteria; Enterobacterales; Enterobacteriaceae. RNAcentral also lists the same sequence under 2 other names. The record is from RNAcentral.